AUACGUAGGGGGCAAGCGUUAUCCGGAUUUACUGGGUGUAAAGGGAGCGUAGACGGAAUGGCAAGUCUGAUGUGAAAGGCCGGGGCUCAACCCCGGGACUGCAUUGGAAACUGUCAGGCUAGAGUGCAGGAGGGGUAAGUGGAAAUCCUAGUGUAGCGGGGAAAUGCGUAGAUAUUAGGAGGAACACCGGUGGCGAAGGCGGCUUACUGGACUGUAACUGACGUUGAGGCUCGAAAGCGUGGGGAGCAAACAGGAUUAGAUUCCCUGGUAGUCCGCGCCGUAAACGAUGAAUACUAGGUGUUGGGUUCCAAUAGGGAUUCGGUGCCGCAGCUAACGCAAUAAGUAUUCCACCUGGGGAGUACGUUCGCAAGAAUGAAACUCAAAUGAAUUGACGGGG
This 397-nucleotide ribosomal RNA is filed under the name uncultured bacterium. Its description in RNAcentral is "partial 16S ribosomal RNA". It matches the Rfam family "Bacterial small subunit ribosomal RNA", at positions 523 to 918 of the family's 1533-position model. The record is from RNAcentral.